ACGGGUGAGUAACGCGUGGGAAUCUACCCAUCCCUACGGAACAACUCCGGGAAACUGGAGCUAAUACCGUAUACGCCCUUUGGGGGAAAGAUUUAUCGGGGAUGGAUGAGCCCGCGUUGGAUUAGCUAGUUGGUGGGGUAAAGGCCUACCAAGGCGACGAUCCAUAGCUGGUCUGAGAGGAUGAUCAGCCACAUUGGGACUGAGACACGGCCCAAACUCCUACGGGAGGCAGCAGUGGGGAAUAUUGGACAAUGGGCGCAAGCCUGAUCCAGCCAUGCCGCGUGAGUGAUGAAGGUCUUAGGAUUGUAAAGCUCUUUCACCGGAGAAGAUAAUGACGGUAUCCGGAGAAGAAGCCCCGGCUAACUUCGUGCCAGCAGCCGCGGUAAUACGAAGGGGGCUAGCGUUGUUCGGAAUUACUGGGCGUAAAGCGCACGUAGGCGGAUAUUUAAGUCAGGGGUGAAAUCCCAGAGCUCAACUCUGGAACUGCCUUUGAUACUGGGUAUCUUGAGUAUGGAAGAGGUAAGUGGAAUUGGGAGUGUAGAGGUGAAAUUCGUAGA
RNAcentral lists this ribosomal RNA (557 nucleotides) under uncultured Rhizobium sp. Its description in RNAcentral is "bacterial SSU rRNA". It matches the Rfam family "Bacterial small subunit ribosomal RNA", at positions 102 to 694 of the family's 1533-position model. The record is from RNAcentral. Lineage: Bacteria; Pseudomonadati; Pseudomonadota; Alphaproteobacteria; Hyphomicrobiales; Rhizobiaceae.